This 340-nucleotide unclassified non-coding RNA is filed under the name Hevea brasiliensis (rubber tree). Lineage: Eukaryota; Viridiplantae; Streptophyta; Magnoliopsida; Malpighiales; Euphorbiaceae. The record is from RNAcentral.
AAAAAAAAAAAAACCUUAAAAAAAAAAAAAAGAAAAUCUCUGCUUGAAAGAAAAUGAAAACAGAUUAGCAUUUUAUCAACUAAAAAAAUCCAAAAUAAAAUUCAAAGAUAAAUACUUGCACGCAAAAAAAUCAAAAGGUAUAGACUUUUGCUUCCUCAGAAGGAUAUUUUCGUCCAAAAAGAAAAGAUAAUACGCUUCGGAUGGAUACAAAGAGAGCAAGCGCAGACGAUUGGUGCUGGAGAAAUUGCAGAGGAGGCCUCCGGUUCCAUAUUAAAGGAAAAAAGAGAUUAUAAUAGUACUUGAACCGACGGAGUUACACAGCGUUUUUAUUAAAAAAAAA